Non-coding RNA from Pelobates cultripes (western spadefoot toad), 345 nucleotides. NCBI's taxonomy places the organism in Eukaryota, Metazoa, Chordata, Amphibia, Anura, Pelobatidae. The record is from the annotation of a GenBank genome assembly.
UGGACUAUUGUGUGGGUGUGACUGUUAGCUCUAGGGCGGCCGCCCAUUUCCCCAUGAAGCCUGGGCAGUCUUCUACGUUGCAUGAGGAAUUGCUAAAGGAAAGAAAGGCUUCUCUCUAUGGGCUCGCAUUCCAUGCAUAGCACUUAUAAGGUCUCGCGACACUAAGUGUGUUUGUGGUAUUGAGGUGACAAACUGUGCUAACUGUCUAUAGCGAAACUGAUGCAAAAGGUUUAGCGUGGUAGGGCUUGGCAGGUCAUUCAUGGGUUUGACCUUCACGUGUCGCAUGUCUGAGUUGGGGGAGAUUGUUUCCUAGUAAUCUUUGAAGCACUCACGCCUCUAACCUGG